UACGGGGGGGCAAGCGUUGUUCGGAAUUACUGGGCGUAAAGGGCUCGUAGGCGGCCAACUAAGUCAGACGUGAAAUCCCUCGGCUUAACCGGGGAACUGCAUCUGAUACUGGAUGGCUUGAGAUUGGGAGAGGGAUGCGGAAUUCCAGGUGUAGCGGUGUAAUGCGUAGAUAUCUGGAGGAACACCGGUGGCGAAGGCGGCAUCCUGGACCAACACUGACGCUGAGGAGCGAAAGCCAGGGGAGCAAACGGG
Molecule: ribosomal RNA, 252 nt
Filed under: uncultured bacterium
Lineage: Bacteria
Description: partial 16S ribosomal RNA
Rfam family: Bacterial small subunit ribosomal RNA
Source: RNAcentral